RNAcentral lists this ribosomal RNA (518 nucleotides) under uncultured bacterium. RNAcentral describes it as "bacterial SSU rRNA". It matches the Rfam family "Bacterial small subunit ribosomal RNA", at positions 11 to 541 of the family's 1533-position model. The record is from RNAcentral.
GUUUGAUCAUGGCUCAGAACGAACGCUGAUGGCGUGCCUCAUACAUGCAAGUCGAGCGCACCGCAAGGUGAGCGGCGAACGGGUGAGUAACGCGUGAACAAUCUGCCUCAAAGUGGGGGACAACCAUUCCAACGGAUGGCUAAUACCGCAUAGGGUUCGGGAGCGGCAUCGCUUCCCUACGAAAGCAUUUAUGCGCUUUGAGAUGAGUUCGCGUCCCAUUAGCUAGUUGGCGGGGUAACGGCCCACCAAGGCAACGAUGGGUAGCCGGCCUGAGAGGGUGUCCGGCCACAUUGGGACUGAGAUACGGCCCAGACUCCUAUGGGAGGCAGCAGUAGGGAAUUUUGCGCAAUGGGGGAAACCCUGACGCAGCAACGCCAUGUGUGGGAUGAAGCAUUUCGGUGUGUAAACCACUGUCGGCAGGGAAUAAAGCCCACAUUUAUGUGGGGGUGAAUGUACCUGCAGAGGAAGCCCCGGCUAACUUCGUGCCAGCAGCCGCGGUAAUACAGGGGGGCAAGUGU